Glycine soja is the source of this 997-nucleotide long non-coding RNA. RefSeq lists it as uncharacterized. The transcript has 3 exons. The record is from RefSeq and is a predicted model, not a curated record. Lineage: Eukaryota; Viridiplantae; Streptophyta; Magnoliopsida; Fabales; Fabaceae.
ACCUAGUGGCUCUUGAUAUUUUCUUCGCGUCCUCUAACCUCCUUCACACGUUUCAUUCUCUCUCCCUCUCUUUCUCUCUCUGCGUGCGUACGGUCACACACACACACACACACACUAUUCGUAGAUUGAAUCCUCCGAAGCAGAUCUCACAUUCAACCUUCAAUGCUUCGUUCUCUUUCCCUCUCCGAUUCAUCCACGGAUUCCAAUUCUCAGUUUCUUUGUUUCUCUCGUCGAAAUUCGUUUCCGAACACCGCAUUCACGCGCCAACCUUGUUCGCUUCGCUUCUCUCGCAGCUUCGUGGAUUCCGCUUUCAUGGAACGAGUUGCUGCGGUUUCUGUCCCGUUCUACAACGGCGAGAAUUUUCCUUCUUCUGAAUUCGUUUGGUUUCCGAAAAAAUUAACCGCGAGAAAAAGAGAGGUUAGAGGGUAGAGAUGUUCUUUAAUCUAUAUGGAGCAAUAAUCACUUUCGAUGGAGACGUGCGUUUCAGCGUUUGGAUCUCAGGGUGCUUGUGGAGGGAAUCAAACCAAACCUUUCUAGUGAAGUGCUUCAAUCCAUACAACCCAUGUUGGUAGUUCAUUCUACAAGCUGCACUUUGCACCCGUGUCUUUGAUUGUAUAGUUCCAUCCGAGAAGAAAGGUAGAAGUGGAAGUCAUUAAAAUAUCUAUUUCUUUCAGAGUGCUUAACUGGCAUCAUAAUUUGUUAAUUAUGUUAUGCUUUGGCCAAUGUGAAUGUUUGUAAAGAAGAGUGGUAAACAUUUUACUUUUUUGGUGUAUAUGACCAUGCCAACGAAGAACUGAGAUGUCCUGCUAAGUUCCUGCUUUUAUCUUAUUAAACACAGUGGGUGCUAGAUUCUCAAUUUUUCAGGUAGGUUUUCGUAGAUUUUAGAACAAUCUGUUGCAUUCUACCCUUCAAAGAGUUUGUCAUGGUUUACUGAAUCCUGAACUUCAGAAAAGAAUGGCUGGGAGGAAGUGCUCCAAAUUGAUUUGCUUAUUUUUCG